Long non-coding RNA from Marmota flaviventris (yellow-bellied marmot), 1301 nucleotides. RefSeq lists it as uncharacterized. NCBI's taxonomy places the organism in Eukaryota, Metazoa, Chordata, Mammalia, Rodentia, Sciuridae. The record is from RefSeq and is a predicted model, not a curated record.
GCUCCGGAAAUCACGUGAUGCUGAAGGCUCCAGCUUCUUAAAGCAACAGCUCUCGCUAGUUUGCGAAGCAGGUGUGUAUGGUUUGGCAUGCAUUGAAUAAACAUGUCCUCUAAUCCCAGCUACUCAGGAGGCUGAGGCAGGAAGACCGCAAGUGCAAGACUGAAGCGAACCUCAGCAGCUUGGUGAGCCCCUGUCUCAAAACAAAAAAUAGAGGUGUAGGGAUGUAGUUCAGUGGUAGGACUGAAAUACAUUGGACUGGGUCCAAUCCCCAGUACCAAAAAACAAAAAAAUUCUUGUGGAAAAGCAUUUCCAUUCCCUUGAUUUUUGUCUGCUCCCCAGUUUACGACCACUUUCAAUUUCGCGACUAUAGGAAAAAGCUUCAGACUUUGGUGUCUGGCUUAAUUUUCCUGCUCAACCUCCCUCUCCAACAUCACCUAACCUGCCUCUUCCGCUUCCUGAAAGGAUCCAACAUACGCCCUGACACACAACAGGAGCUUUUAAAGUGUUUGCAGACUAAAGGAAAAGUCCAAUCUCGACUGAGAGAAGUCUCAUUAUCCAACUUUGCAGAGGACGCCUUGGGAAGGAAGCAACUGGCUGCCUGGGGCCUGGGAGGGUGAGAGGGCUUCCCAGAGUGGGUUGCACGGCCUUACACGAUGAGUAGGAAUUAGGUAGAGAGUUGUUGGCUUGGGGCACUGUGUGCGCAAAGACCUUACAGCGCGAUGGGAGCAAACUUACUUUCCGGUGCAGGUUCCCUCCACCUCGGUGAAAAGCUUCUGCUUCACGGUAUUGAGCAAGUUGGGGCCGAAGUAGCGCGGGUGCAGCAGGAUCUCGUGCUCCAGGGAGAUCUGCAGUGAAAGGAGAAUGGAGACCCGGCCAGGAGCAGAGAGGGCAAGAGGCGAGAAGAGGCGCCCAGCCUCGCUGCACCUCGAGACCCAACCCUCGUCGCCACCCGGCGCCUACUCACGUGAUAGAACAUCUUUGCUGAGGAAGUUGGACUGAGGCGUCCACACCUGGGACAACAACUUAUCUGUCUCCUCCGGAAGCGCACGCUACAACCACAACCUCGCUUCCGGGUCCCUGCGCCGAUCUGAUUGGACCUCGCUGUAGAGGGCGGGGACUCGUUAAGCUCUGUCCCUGAAGCGCCGCCCCACGGCGGGCUGUCAAAACUCAGAUCCCUGUAAAGUAGCCUGUAGUAGAUGCUCAGUAAAUACUUUUCCCCCCAUAUUUUUAUUGGUGCAUUAUAAUGGUGGGAUUCGUUGUUACAUAUGCGUAAAUGCUCAGUAAACACUUUUAAUAAGCUU